CCCCCUUUAAAAGCACUCGCUGGGCCUGUUGGUAAUGACCCAUUGAGCCGUCAAGAAGGGGCAGAGUACAAACACCGCUUUUGGGUGAAGCGGCAGCGUGCUGUGUUGUUUUGCUUCAAUCGGUGGUGUGACAAGA
This is a small nucleolar RNA of Fukomys damarensis (Damara mole-rat), 136 nucleotides long. Lineage: Eukaryota; Metazoa; Chordata; Mammalia; Rodentia; Bathyergidae. The record is from Ensembl.